GUGGAGUGCCAAAGUUUUCAAUUCAGCUGCUAAACACAUUCCUAGUAAAACCAAGCUUCCAAGGUCACCGCAAAAGCAGCAACUAAGUAUAACAGUAGUUAAUUAAUGAGCCAGAUUCCCAACAAAUCACGAAGCAGUUCAACAUCCCAAGAGGAACUGGGGCAUGAAAUAGAUGACAAGAGGAAAACGAAGAGCUAAUAAAAGGCUGUAAGGAUUCAGAGAAGAAAAUACAAAGCUCUUGACAGCCAUGGAGUUGUCAUGUUUUAGAGCCAAGUGUCAGACCCUGGGCUGAAAGCUGUCUUUGACUAGUGCCAAUGGACAAGUUGUUAAAAUAUCUGAGACCUUCACAGGAACUGAGACACGUUUAGGGCAAAGGAAUCCAUGUGCCUCCAUCAUCCAAGCACUAAAGGGAACCAUGGACUGACUAUUGCUCUCCCUUACAUGCUGACCACUGGGGAAGCAAAAGCCACCACUCAGGAGCUCUGCUUUGUUCUCUAUGUAUUCUACAGAAGAAGAACAAAAAAGAACUACCAGUCAGCUGAUUAGUAAUAUCUAGAUGUAUUAUCAUUGCAGGAAUAAUCAAGAAAAGAAUAUUGGCUGGGAGGGAGGGGGAGGUGUUCAAGGGAUCAAGGAAAUUUGAAAUUCGGACAUAGUGUGACAUAGUGACAUAGCGAGUGACAAGGUGAGAAAAGAAGGGAGUGAUACAGCUGCAAGUGGCGAGGAGACACGCUUCCCUAGAUCCUACACAAGGAGCAUGGCCCAUAGGCCCCGACUUCGGCUUUGCAAUCUCAAGAACCAGGAGAGAACAUACUUCUAUUGAUCAACGGAAUCAAGUCCAUGGAACAUUUUUGUGUCAUCCCUGGGAAACAAGAACAAUCUGAUGUCGAGGCUUCACUAUUUCCUUGGAGCAAGAAUAUACUAAUAUGUGAAGACAAUAAAAGUCCAACUGAGUUACUGAAUGAGAACCAUGUGCAAUAAAUCUGCAGACCUGGAAUGACAGCUUACGGACUAUGGAGCAUUAUUCUGAAAUUCCUGCAGCGACUUCCUGAGGUUCCCAGGGCAUCAUCUGUCCUAGAAUUCUGCUCACCAGAUGUCCCUUGAAAGACCCCCAGAACUGGGGAGAUCCUCACUCAAGUCUCGGGAUGAUGCGACCACCCAAUAACUCACGAGAGACC
This is a long non-coding RNA of Mastomys coucha (southern multimammate mouse), 1175 nucleotides long. RefSeq lists it as uncharacterized. The record is from RefSeq and is a predicted model, not a curated record. Lineage: Eukaryota; Metazoa; Chordata; Mammalia; Rodentia; Muridae. The transcript has 3 exons.